Molecule: ribosomal RNA, 301 nt
Filed under: uncultured bacterium
Lineage: Bacteria
Description: partial 16S ribosomal RNA
Rfam family: Bacterial small subunit ribosomal RNA
Source: RNAcentral
CAGCCGCCACGGGAAUACGAAGGGGGCUAGCGUUGUUCGGAUUUACUGGGCGUAAAGGGCGCGUAGGCGGACUGAUAAGUCAGGGGUGAAAUCCCAAGGCUCAACCUUGGAACUGCCUUUGAUACUGUUUGUCUUGAGUUCGAGAGAGGUAAGUGGAACUGCGAGUGUAGAGGUGAAAUUCGUAGAUAUUCGCAAGAACACCAGUGGCGAAGGCGGCUUACUGGCUCGAAACUGACGCUGAGGCGCGAAAGCGUGGGGAGCAAACAGGAUUAGAUACCCGGGUAGUCCCUGUCUCUUAUAC